This 119-nucleotide ribosomal RNA is filed under the name Triticum aestivum (bread wheat). Lineage: Eukaryota; Viridiplantae; Streptophyta; Magnoliopsida; Poales; Poaceae. The record is from RNAcentral.
GGAUGCGAUCAUACCAGCACUAAAGCACCGGAUCCCAUUAGAACUUCGAAGUUAAGCGUGCUUGGGCGAGAGUAGUACUGGGAUGGGUGACCUCCUGGGAAGUCCUCGUGCUGCAUUCC